AGGGCCAUAUCAUGUUGAAACUACGGUUCUCAUAUGAUCACCAAAGUUAAGCAAUGUUGAGCCUAGUCAAUACCUAGAUGGUUGACCACUUGGGAAUACCAAGUGCUGUAA
Non-coding RNA from Acanthosepion pharaonis, 111 nucleotides. Lineage: Eukaryota; Metazoa; Mollusca; Cephalopoda; Sepiida; Sepiidae. The record is from the annotation of a GenBank genome assembly.